RNAcentral lists this ribosomal RNA (761 nucleotides) under Wetmoreana texana. Its description in RNAcentral is "LSU rRNA". It matches the Rfam family "Eukaryotic large subunit ribosomal RNA", at positions 165 to 944 of the family's 3401-position model. Lineage: Eukaryota; Fungi; Ascomycota; Lecanoromycetes; Teloschistales; Teloschistaceae. The record is from RNAcentral.
CGGGCGCGAUGCCGGUCUAAGUCCCUUGGAACGGGGCGUCAUAGAGGGUGAGAAUCCCGUAUGUGACCGGUGACCAAGCCUAUAUGAAACUCCUUCGACGAGUCGAGUUGUUUGGGAAUGCAGCUCAAAAUGGGUGGUAAAUUUCAUCUAAAGCUAAAUACCGGCCAGAGACCGAUAGCGCACAAGUAGAGUGAUCGAAAGAUGAAAAGCACUUUGGAAAGAGAGUCAAAAAGUACGUGAAAUUGUUGAAAGGGAAGCGCUUGCAACCAGACCUGUCCGCGGGUGAUCAGCCGUCCUUUUGGGCGGUGCACGCACCCGCGAUCAGGCCAGCAUCGGUUCAGGCGGCCGGAUAAAGGCCUUGGGAAUGUAGCUUCUCUCGGGGAGUGUUAUAGCCCUUGGUGCAAUGCGGCCAGCCCGGACCGAGGAUCGCGCUUCGGCAAGGAUGCUGGCGUAAUGGUUGUAAGCGGCCCGUCUUGAAACACGGACCAAGGAGUCUAACAUCUAUGCGAGUGUUUGGGUGUUAAACCCAUUCGCGUAAUGAAAGUGAACGGAGGUGGGAACCCCUGAGGGCGCACCAUCGACCGAUCCAGAUGUCUUCGGAUGGAUUUGAGUACGAGCAUAGCUGUUGGGACCCGAAAGAUGGUGAACUAUGCCUGAAUAGGGUGAAGCCAGAGGAAACUCUGGUGGAGGCUCGCAGCGGUUCUGACGUGCAAAUCGAUCGUCAAAUUUAGGUAUAGGGGCGAAAGACUAAUCGAACCAUC